RNA transcript from Oryza sativa Japonica Group (Japanese rice), 3473 nucleotides. It is a transcript of the gene named phosphomethylpyrimidine synthase, chloroplastic, with no coding region annotated. Lineage: Eukaryota; Viridiplantae; Streptophyta; Magnoliopsida; Poales; Poaceae. The record is from RefSeq and is a predicted model, not a curated record.
GCGCCCCCCGCUAUAAAAAUAUCUUCCGCCCUUGCACCCCUCCCCCCCAUCCCGCUCACGAGUUCCUCACUUCCUCCUCCGCCCGCGUCGCCCCUCCUCUCCUCUCCCUCCCGGCUCCCGGCUACCGCCGCCGCCGCCCCGAGGAAAUGGCUGCCCUGCAACCCUCAUUCUCUUCAGCAAUGGCUAUGAAAAGUCUGAAGUUACCCAAAACUGCAGUUUUACCUGGAUUUGGUGGUAUUGCACGUCCUCAAGAUGUGCAGGACAGGAGCGCUAACUUCACUUGUUCAAGGCCUAGAGCAGCUUCAGUGACUGACCAGUCAACAGCAGAGCCAGCAAAACCCAGGCAAAACAAGCACACUGUUGAUCCUUCUGCUCCAGAAUUUCUGCCACUCCCAUCAUUUGAAGAAUGCUUUCCAAGGAGCACAAAAGAAUCCAGAGAAAUUGUGCACGAGGAAUCUGGCCAUGUCCUCAAGAUCCCAUUUAGGAGAAUCCAUUUGACCGGAGAUGAGAAGCAUUUUGACACAUACGACACCAGUGGUCCACAAAACAUUAGUCCAAGGAUUGGACUUCCAAAGAUAAGGAAGGAAUGGAUUGACAGGAGGGAGAAGUUAGGUGGUCCUCGAUACACACAAAUGUAUUACGCUAAGCAGGGAAUCAUAACAGAGGAGAUGUUGUACUGUGCCACACGUGAGAACCUUAGUCCUGAAUUUGUCCGGUCAGAGGUUGCCCGUGGACGAGCUAUAAUUCCUUCCAACAAGAGGCACCUGGAAUUGGAACCCAUGAUUGUUGGACGAAACUUCCUUGUAAAAGUGAAUGCAAACAUUGGGAAUUCUGCUGUUGUGAGCUCCAUCGAGGAGGAAGUACACAAGCUCCAGUGGGCUACAAUGUGGGGAGCUGAUACUGUCAUGGACCUUUCAACAGGGCGUCAUAUCCAUGAGACCCGGGAAUGGAUCCUUCGUAAUUCUUCAGUCCCUAUUGGGACGGUGCCUAUUUACCAAGCACUUGAGAAAGUUAAUGGUAUUGCUGAAAAUCUAAGCUGGGAAGUCUUUAGAGAUACUUUAAUCGAACAAGCUGAGCAGGGUGUUGAUUACUUCACAAUCCAUGCUGGCGUGCUUCUUCGUUACAUUCCUCUUACGGCAAAGAGAAUGACCGGCAUAGUUUCACGUGGUGGCUCUAUCCAUGCAAAAUGGUGCCUAACAUAUCAUAAGGAGAACUUUGCCUAUGAGCACUGGGAUGAAAUUCUUGAUAUUUGCAAUCAGUAUGAUGUGGCAUUAUCCAUUGGCGAUGGUUUGAGACCAGGUUCUAUUUAUGAUGCAAAUGAUAGUGCUCAGUUUGCAGAAUUGCUGACUCAAGGGGAACUCACACGCCGAGCUUGGGCAAAAGAUGUGCAGGUAAUGAAUGAAGGCCCAGGGCACAUUCCGAUGCAUAAAAUUCCUGAAAACAUGGAGAAGCAACUGGAGUGGUGCAAUGAAGCACCUUUCUACACACUGGGGCCACUGACAACUGAUAUUGCACCUGGUUAUGAUCACAUCACCUCCGCCAUUGGUGCUGCCAACAUUGGGGCUCUUGGCACUGCACUUCUCUGUUAUGUAACACCAAAGGAGCACCUUGGAUUGCCUAACCGUGAUGAUGUUAAGACAGGCGUGAUAUCCUACAAAAUUUCUGCUCAUGCUGCUGAUUUGGCAAAGGGCCAUCCCUAUGCACAAGCAUGGGACGAUACACUAAGCAAGGCAAGAUUUGAGUUUAGAUGGUUGGAUCAAUUUGCUCUAUCUCUGGAUCCUGUGACCGCUAUGUCUUUCCAUGAUGAAACAUUACCAUCGGAGGGUGCCAAAGUGGCACAUUUCUGCUCAAUGUGUGGCCCAAAGUUUUGUUCGAUGAAAAUCACAGAGGAUAUUAGAAAAUAUGCUGAUGAACAUGGUUACGGGACAGUGGAGGAAGCGGUGAUACAAGGAAUGAAUGCUAUGAGUGCUGAGUUUUCAGCUGCAAGGAAAACAAUCAGUGGGGAGCAACAUGGUGAAGCUGGAGGGGAGAUAUAUGUUCCAGAAAGCUAUACAGCUCGCAAAUAAGGGACCUUAAUAAACCUUUAGUGGCUUGGACUUGUAUGUGCAUUACUGCAAAGGCACUAACUUUUAUAUCACAAUAACAUGUUCUCGCCUUCUCGGAACUCAGAAUACAAUCUCCGUGCAGAUCGUCUUGGUGUCCAUCUACUCCGGGUGGAGCGUUUAUCAGCAGCACUCCUCACCAUCCUAUGUUAGGAGGUGGGGUGCCUGUAUUCUCAACGAUCUGAAGGCCUCUUGGCCUGGAUUGUUGUGAAUUGGGCUGAGAAAGUCCCUUUGAACCUGAACAGGAUAAUGCCUGCGAAGGGAGUGUGCAUUUCUACUUUUAUGUUUCCAGGGAACUCUCAACACAACCCCUUUUUGGUGGGAGAUCGAGCUAUCCAAUAUGUUCCUGAACGUGUGAGCUCAGCAGCUGGAUAUACCUGUUUCUUACAACUGAGGUAACAUGGUAAUAAUACUUCAUUUGAUAAGUGGCAUGCUGACAUUUCUCCAACAGGAGAGGAUUUCUGCAGAUACCACUUCGUAAUGUCCCAGAACUGAUUUAGUCAUACAUUUAUUAUCCGUGUAAAUUUGCAAAGCGUUGGCCAUGUCCUAUGCAAUUGAUUUUAAACCAUCUAUCUGCACAUAUCUAAUUAAAGUAUAAAACAAUUUAUAAACUCUACAUAAUGGACAUUUUAGCUGCAUGCCACUUGUCAAUUGAGCACACAAUAUACUGACUAAAUUCAAUUUAACUUGAUCAUGAUUCAUGUGGAAGGUGUUUAUUAGGAAUUAAUUUAUUGAUAUGGCCAGAGACUUGUUUAUUUUUAGCUAUUUAUUUGUCUUUCCCAUAGAAAUGAUCAAAUUUUGUACUUGCACCUUGUGUAAGUAUAAUAGAAUUAUUUAGUCUGUUUUGGAGCAUUCAUUAAUGCAAUGAUGCUCAGCCGCUCAGAUCUUUGCGUAGCAUUAUCCAAGAAAACAAGUCUUUUUGUAUCCCCUAGAUAAUUUGAAAGCACCCAUACAUGCACAAUAGCAUGUGAAAAAGAACUUUAGCUAGGUUCUGUUGACCGAUUAUGUUGUAGGAUAGGAAUCAUCUGCCUGUAGAACAUAAUUUGGGCAUUAUCUUCUGAUGUUAUAAUCAUGUUUUUCUCAGCAAACUAUUACUCCGCACUCCAUUUUGUGUUUGCGAUGUGGAAUUAUUUUACCUGUGAUCCAAUCCCAUUAUUUGACUGACGUGAAACGUUAAGUGAAAUGACGUGUGGACAAAGUUGCUCGUGGCUGGAGUCUUUAUGCUCGUGGUUAACAAUUUGGAGAUGAAUUUUGCUCUGAUUGUGCUCCUGCAAUGUGUUUUUAAUUUUCAUCAUAACGGAUCUUGACACUAUUUUCUAUCAGAUUGUUACCUGUUGUUCAUUCCGAGUUCAGUACUACUAUACAAUGUCC